AGUGAACGCUGGCGGUAGGCCUAACACAUGCAAGUCGAACGGCAGCACAGUAAUAGCUUGCUCUUACGGGUGGCGAGUGGCGGACGGGUGAGGAAUACAUCGGAAUCUACUUUUUCGUGGGGGAUAACGUAGGGAAACUUACGCUAAUACCGCAUACGACCUACGGGUGAAAGCAGGGGAUCUUCGGACCUUGCUCGAUUGAAUGAGCCGAUGUCGGAUUAGCUAGUUGGCGGGGUAAAGGCCCACCAAGGCGACGAUCCGUAGCUGGUCUGAGAGGAUGAUCAGCCACACUGGAACUGAGACACGGUCAAGACUCCUACGGGAGGCAGCAGUGGGGAAUAUUGGACAAUGGGCGCAAGCCUGAUCCAGCCAUACCGCGUGGGUGAAGAAGGCCUUCGGGUUGUAAAGCCCUUUUGUUGGGAAAGAAAAGCAGCAGGUUAAUACCCCGCUGUUCUGACGGUACCCAAAGAAUAAGCACCGGCUAACUUCGUG
Molecule: ribosomal RNA, 492 nt
Filed under: uncultured bacterium
Lineage: Bacteria
Description: partial 16S ribosomal RNA
Rfam family: Bacterial small subunit ribosomal RNA
Source: RNAcentral